UACAGAGGUCCCAAGCGUUGUUCGGAUUCACUGGGCGUAAAGGGUGCGCAGGUGGGUUUGCAAGUUCGAUGUGAAAGCCCCGGGCUUAACCCGGGAAUGGCAUUGGAUACUGCAGAUCUGGAGGAUUGGAGGGGGGACUGGAAUUCUUGGUGUAGCAGUGAAAUGCGUAGAUAUCAAGAGGAACACCAGUGGCGAAGGCGAGUCCCUGGACAAUACCUGACACUGAGGCACGAAAGCUAGGGGAGCAAACAGG
Molecule: ribosomal RNA, 253 nt
Filed under: uncultured bacterium
Lineage: Bacteria
Description: partial 16S ribosomal RNA
Rfam family: Bacterial small subunit ribosomal RNA
Source: RNAcentral